Molecule: unclassified non-coding RNA, 271 nt
Filed under: uncultured Basidiomycota
Lineage: Eukaryota; Fungi; Basidiomycota
Description: sequence contains ITS2
Source: RNAcentral
AAUCUCAAUCCCACCGGGUUUUAAAUGAAACGGCUUGGCGGAUGGGGUCUGGAUGGGUGCCUCUGCCUGCGCUACCUAGCACAGGCUCGCCCGAAAUGCAUGAGCGCCUGAGACACUUUGCAUCCGCCUCUCUGUUUGGGAGGAGGCGGCCAAGCAGUGUUUUUCUCCUGGCAUGGCAUGAUACGUCAUUUGCUAUGUCGCCUAAAGGAGGAAUGUUUGGUUGUGUCUGCGUGUGCUUCGAACUUGCCUCUGUGGCACAUCCCAAUUUCAC